CCCUUCACACAUCCCUCUCGUGUACGGCCUCGAACCCAUCACCAGAACGAGCUGCUGCUUCGUCUCCAACGUGUCCACAAAGUACACUUCGUCAUUGAGUACCCUCCCCUUCGUAAGUUGGAUUUUCUUGACUUCUUGUAGGGAAUGGUCAUGUUUUCUGUUCCUAGAAUGUAUAAUUCUACUAUCUCCUCUAGGAUGGAUUGUACUCAAACCAAUAUUUU
Molecule: long non-coding RNA, 221 nt
Filed under: Linum usitatissimum (flax)
Lineage: Eukaryota; Viridiplantae; Streptophyta; Magnoliopsida; Malpighiales; Linaceae
Description: long non-coding RNA (LUSI_LNC005725)
Source: RNAcentral